Molecule: ribosomal RNA, 1310 nt
Filed under: human gut metagenome
Description: bacterial LSU rRNA
Rfam family: Bacterial large subunit ribosomal RNA
Source: RNAcentral
AGGAAGAGAGAAUGCCGGAAUGAGUAGCGAGAUGAAGGUGAGAAUCCUUCAGGCCGAAUAUCUAAGGUUUCCAGAGUAAAGCUGAUCUGCUCUGGGUAAGUCGGGACCUAAGGCGAGGUCGAAAGACGUAGUCGAUGGAUAACAGGUUGAAAUUCCUGUACCGCAUAUAAACAGAACUGUGGGGACACAGACAGGGAAUGGAAUCCGGGAGUGGAAAUCCCGGUGCAAGCGAGGUAGGAGUGCUGUUGGCAAAUCCGCAGCACGAUCUGAAGACGUGACGCGUACCGAACAUAAGUAGGGAAGUCCAGGCCCCUGGCUGUCAAGAAAAGCCGCUAUCGUUUUAUAUGUGCCCGUACCGCAAACCGACACAGGUGGAUGAGGAGAGAAUCCUAAGGCCGACGGGAGAAGUAUUGUUAAGGAACUCGGCAAAAUGACUCCGUAACUUCGGGAGAAGGAGUGCCAUGAGAGUGGCCGCAGAGAAAUGGCCCAAGCAACUGUUUAGCAAAAACACAGGUCUAUGCAAAACCGCAAGGUGAAGUAUAUGGGCUGACGCCUGCCCGGUGCUGGAAGGUUAAGGGGAGAGGUUAGCGCAAGCGAAGCUUUGAACUUAAGCCCCAGUAAACGGCGGCCGUAACUAUAACGGUCCUAAGGUAGCGAAAUUCCUUGUCGGGUAAGUUCCGACCCGCACGAAAGGCGUAAUGAUUUGGGCACUGUCUCAACAAUGCACCCGGUGAAAUUGAAAUACCAGUGAAGAUGCUGGUUACCUGCGCCAGGACGGAAAGACCCCAUGGAGCUUUACUCCAGUUUGAUACUGGGAUUCGGCAUGGUAUGUACAGGAUAGGUGGGAGACUGAGAAGGUAUGACGUCAGUUGUACCGGAGUCGCUGUUGGGAUACCACCCUUACCAUGUUGGAUUUCUAACCUGUGGCCGUAAGCCGGUCAGGGGACAAUGUCAGGCGGGGAGUUUGACUGGGGCGGUCGCCUCCGAAAGGGUAUCGGAGGCGCUCAAAGGUUCCCUCAGAAUGGUUGGAAACCAUUCGAAGAGUGCAAAGGCAGAAGGGAGCUUGACUGUGACACCGACGGGUGGAGCAGGUACGAAAGUAGGACUUAGUGAUCCGGUGGUAUAAAGUGGGAUUGCCAUCGCUCAACGGAUAAAAGCUACCCUGGGGAUAACAGGCUUAUCACUCCCAAGAGUUCACAUCGACGGAGUGGUUUGGCACCUCGAUGUCGGCUCAUCGCAUCCUGGAGCUGUAGCAGGUUCCAAGGGUUGGGCUGUUCGCCCAUUAAAGCGGUACGCGAGCUGGGUUCAGA